UGAACGCUGGCGGCGUGCUUAACACAUGCAAGUCGAACGGUGAACACGGAGCUUGCUCUGUGGGAUCAGUGGCGAACGGGUGAGUAACACGUGAGCAACCUGCCCCUGACUCUGGGAUAAGCGCUGGAAACGGCGUCUAAUACUGGAUAUGUGACGUGACCGCAUGGUCUGCGUCUGGAAAGAAUUUCGGUUGGGGAUGGGCUCGCGGCCUAUCAGCUUGUUGGUGAGGUAAUGGCUCACCAAGGCGUCGACGGGUAGCCGGCCUGAGAGGGUGACCAGCCACACUGGGACUGAGACACGGCCCAGACUCCUACGGGAGGCAGCAGUGGGGAAUCUUGCGCAAUGGGCGAAAGCCUGACGCAGCAACGCCGCGUGCGGGAAGAAGGCUUUCGGGCUGUAAACCGCUUUCAGCAGGAACGAAAAUGACGGUACCUGCAGAAGAAGGAGCGGCCAACUAUGUGCCAGCCG
This 468-nucleotide ribosomal RNA is filed under the name uncultured Microbacterium sp. Its description in RNAcentral is "bacterial SSU rRNA". It matches the Rfam family "Bacterial small subunit ribosomal RNA", at positions 30 to 514 of the family's 1533-position model. The record is from RNAcentral. Lineage: Bacteria; Bacillati; Actinomycetota; Actinomycetes; Micrococcales; Microbacteriaceae.